This 497-nucleotide ribosomal RNA is filed under the name uncultured bacterium. Its description in RNAcentral is "bacterial SSU rRNA". It matches the Rfam family "Bacterial small subunit ribosomal RNA", at positions 31 to 518 of the family's 1533-position model. The record is from RNAcentral.
GAACGCUGGCGGCAGGCCUAACACAUGCAAGUCGAACGGUAACAGGAAGAAGCUUGCUCUUGCUGACGAGUGGCGGACGGGUGAGUAAUGUCUGGGAAACUGCCUGAUGGAGGGGGAUAACUACUGGAAACGGUAGCUAAUACCGCAUAACGUCGCAAGACCAAAGAGGGGGACCUUCGGGCCUCUUGCCAUCGGAUGUGCCCAGAUGGGAUUAGCUAGUAGGUGGGGUAACGGCUCACCUAGGCGACGAUCCCUAGCUGGUCUGAGAGGAUGACCAGCCACACUGGAACUGAGACACGGUCCAGACUCCUACGGGAGGCAGCAGUGGGGAAUAUUGCACAAUGGGCGCAAGCCUGAUGCAGCCAUGCCCGCGUGUAUGAAGAAGGCCUUCGGGUUGUAAAGUACUUUCAGCGGGGAGGAAGGGAGUAAAGUUAAUACCUUUGCUCAUUGACGUUACCCGCAGAAGAAGCACCGGCUAACUCCGUGCCAGCCGCCGC